CAGUGGCGGAGUGGUCUAACGCAUCUCCGUAUCAAGGAGAUUGCGCGGGUACGAAUACCGUCUG
RNAcentral lists this transfer RNA (64 nucleotides) under Operophtera brumata (winter moth). It matches the Rfam family "tRNA", at positions 5 to 66 of the family's 71-position model. Rfam says of the family: Transfer RNA (tRNA) molecules are approximately 80 nucleotides in length. Their secondary structure includes four short double-helical elements and three loops (D, anti-codon, and T loops). Lineage: Eukaryota; Metazoa; Arthropoda; Insecta; Lepidoptera; Geometridae. The record is from Rfam by way of RNAcentral.